ACUGGAUUUUCCAAGAAGGCAAGAUCAGCCAGAUGAGAGGAGUGAAAAAAUGAUACCAAAAAGACCCUUCUGGACAUCUCUCUAGGGCUACCUGGUUUUUCAGAACUGGUUGCUUAAAUUCCAAGUGGGCAUGGGAGACACAUUUUCCUUCUGCCAGUUUCCUAAAGUUUCCUUAUUGUAUCACAAUAUAUAUCAUACACUUUUAAGAGGCAAAGCUCAGAGACUUACUCUUUUGCUUGGAGGAAAAGAAAUACCCUUUUGCUUGGAGAAGGUACUGCUUGCUAAAUGUUUAAGCCUAAGUGUUUCCCUCCAUAGGAUUUUGAAAAUAGUAUCUAACUUGUUUAUUUGACAUCAAGGAAUGAGAUGGUGAUGGAAGAGAUGAGAGAGAAUCUAUUUCUAUUACAAAUUUAAAAAUGUUUAAAAAAUAUUUAGAUGUGAAAUCUCCUUAGUUGCCAAAUUCCUGGUUCAGUUUUCUCCUUAUUUUCACUAAAAUUAGAGGUUUUUCUAAAGAUAAAAAACAGUACUUCUUAACAUACAGUCCUAGAUUUUUGCCUUAUUGGUCAAUGUUUUAGGGUUAAUACAGGAUGUAUUUUGGCCAUAGGUGUCUGAGAAGAAAAAAAAAAAAUCAAUAAUUUUACUUUCAAGGAAAAAAAAUCUGUUUUUUUAAGGAUGAGGAAGGAUGGAAAUGAGGACUAAUUCCCUAGAAAAAUCUGACAAGAAGACUGCCCGUGGAAUAUGAAUACUUGCUUCCUAAGCAGAGGCAGGCUACUGAGCAUUUUAGAUCCUCUGAUUACACAAUCUGUUAUAAUGUAAGUAGAUAUCAAUUUUAAGCUCAAAAUGGAUUUUCCUAGUGGGCCAUGUGUAAAAGCUCUUUCCAAAUGAAAAAUAAAAAUCUGAUUGUGGUUAACUGUGAACUGUUUUAGCUGAAUAGAACUAUGAAAGAGAUUGAUUCAGGUAGAGACGUUAACUGGUUUUCCUUUUUUUUUUUUUUGUCAUCAAAAGCAAAAGAAAGUAUAUGAAAGAUAGUUACUUGAUUAAUCCAGGGGGAGGUCUCAGUUAUGCUGGUGAUUGUACUGGCAUUAAAAUGAGAAUUAAAACACUUUUUCAUAUUAAAAUUAUGGUUUUAUUUUAAUGGAAAAUAACCCUGUACUCACUGAAUUUGGUUGUUUGUAGGCAAGAUUUUAAUUAGCACUAUUGUAAGAGAGUCAGAUUCCUGGAGGGGACCUGGCAAAGAGCUCUGGGGCCUUCAAUACAUUUAUUCAUUUACUUAACAGAUUCAUUCACGCCGUAUCAUAAGAUUUAUUGGAAUCAUGCGGAUUAUUUGGAACUAGCAUUAUUGCUAAUUUCCAAAGAGAGGAGUAAAAGACUUUGACCUAAAUUCCUGGAACAUUUGUGUGGCUGCUAUUUUGAAUUCCAGAGAUACUUUUGCAAAAGCUUCAUGCGGUAUGCAGUUCUUACAGCAAUCACACUACUGAGCAGAAGGAGCAACCAGGACAAGGUGAGGACAGCACAGCUCCGAGGCUUUAGGGGUUCCACAAGGCCACUGCAUGAAAACUGACAGAACUAAGAUCUGCUUCAGGAUUGCCCGACAUCAUAGGUAUUUCACAUUUGUGCAUUAAGAAAAUUUAAAAAAAACAAAUCAUGAGAAAGAACAAAACUGGAAGUAUCACAGUUCCAGAUUUCAAGCUAUA
Molecule: long non-coding RNA, 1691 nt
Organism: Mustela erminea (ermine)
Lineage: Eukaryota; Metazoa; Chordata; Mammalia; Carnivora; Mustelidae
Exons: 4
Source: RefSeq, a predicted model, not a curated record